UACGUAGGGGGCAAGCGUUGUCCGGAAUUAUUGGGCGUAAAGAGCGUGUAGGCGGUCCGGUAAGUCCGCUGUGAAAGUCCAGGGCUCAACCCUGGAAUGCCGGUGGAUACUGCCGGGCUAGAGUCCGGAAGAGGCGAGUGGAAUUCCUGGUGUAGCGGUGAAAUGCGCAGAUAUCAGGAGGAACACCGAUGGCGAAGGCAGCUCGGUGGGACGGUACUGACGCUGAGACGCGAAAGCGUGGGGAGCAAACAGG
Molecule: ribosomal RNA, 253 nt
Filed under: uncultured bacterium
Lineage: Bacteria
Description: partial 16S ribosomal RNA
Rfam family: Bacterial small subunit ribosomal RNA
Source: RNAcentral